AGUUUUGUAAGAAAAUGCCAAAAUGUUUUCCACAGUGACUGUAACAUUGCAUUCCCACCAGUAAUUAAUGAGAAUUCCUGUUCACCAACCUCAUGAGAAGUUGAUAUUUUUAGUGUUUUGGAUUUGGGCCAUUCUGAUAGAUGUGCAGUGGUAUCUCAUUGUUGUUUUAAUUUGCAUUUCCCUAAUGACAUCUGAUGUGACAUAUAUAUUUAUU
Sapajus apella (tufted capuchin) is the source of this 214-nucleotide long non-coding RNA. RefSeq lists it as uncharacterized. Lineage: Eukaryota; Metazoa; Chordata; Mammalia; Primates; Cebidae. The transcript has 4 exons. The record is from RefSeq and is a predicted model, not a curated record.